Panicum virgatum (switchgrass) is the source of this 569-nucleotide long non-coding RNA. RefSeq lists it as uncharacterized. The transcript has 2 exons. Lineage: Eukaryota; Viridiplantae; Streptophyta; Magnoliopsida; Poales; Poaceae. The record is from RefSeq and is a predicted model, not a curated record.
AUCUGGACUCUUAACCCCUUGACCCGUUUGAUCCUGGCAAGAGAUGUGCUGUGCGUGCUGUAGGCUUGUAGCAGUGUAGAUCUGCCGGAUUUCUUCGCGCUCAUGGAGUGGUCUGUGUGUAGUUCAAAGUUCAAUAGUCAGUACCCUCCGUUUCUUGUUUGGACCCAUGGCUUGGGGUUGACUUGCCAGGUUAUGGUUGCUAUCCAUCAGGUGAAUAUUUGUGGCCAUAGUUUUCUCGGUUGAGGGGGUUAGCAAAUGGUUGAAAACUACUAGACUAUCCGUAGGAGUCAUUGUGUCAAAUACCUGCAGUAGUAUUUUUUGGUAGUACUAGAAUCCAGAACUUGCAGUUAAGGUGAUAUGCAUGUAGUUUCUACUUAUCCAGAGACUGAUUGUCCGACUGUCGAUAACAUGCUCUGCAACUGUGGGUGUGCAUGCAUGCGCCCCUGUUUACAUGUACACCAAUAUCGUAUCACAAUCGUUCUUAUUUACUGUUUGUAAUCUUGUUUCUUCUUGAGUUGUAAAUGUGUAAUGCAUACUGAACUCUCUGUUAUAUGUAUGGUGUUAGCUUG